CCCGGCCACCCUGGGGAUUGAGACACGGCCCCAGACUCCUACCGGGAGGCAGCAGUGGGGAAUAUUGCCCAAUGGGCGAAAGCCUGAUGCAGCGACGCCGCGUGAGGGAUGACGGCCUUCGGGGUUGUAAACCUCUUUCAGCAGGGAAGAAGCGAAAGUGACGGUACCUGCAGAAGAAGCGCCGGCUAACUACGUGCCAGCAGCCGCGGUAAUACGUAGGGCGCGAGCGUUGUCCGGAAUUAUUGGGCGUAAAGAGCUCGUAGGCGGCUUGUCACGUCGGUUGUGAAAGCCCGGGGCUUAACCCCGGGUCUGCAGUCGAUACGGGCAGGCUAGAGUUCGGUAGGGGAGAUCGGAAUUCCUGGUGUAGCGGUGAAAUGCGCAGAUAUCAGGAGGAACACCGGUGGCGAAGGCGGAUCUCUGGGCCGAUACUGACGCUGAGGAGCGAAAGCGUGGGGAGCGAACAGGAUUAGAUACCCUGGUAGUCCACGCCGUAAACGGUGGGCACUAGGUGUGGGCGACAUUCCACGUCGUCCGUGCCGCAGCUAACGCAUUAAGUGCCCCGCCUGGGGAGUACGGCCGCAAGGCUAAAACUCAAAGGAAUUGACGGGGGCCCGCACAAGCGGCGGAGCAUGUGGCUUAAUUCGACGCAACGCGAAGAACCUUACCAAGGCUUGACAUACACCGGAAACGUCCAGAGAUGGGCGCCCCCUUGUGGUCGGUGUACAGGUGGUGCAUGGCUGUCGUCAGCUCGUGUCGUGAGAUGUUGGGUUAAGUCCCGCAACGAGCGCAACCCUUGUCCCGUGUUGCCAGCAAGCCCUUCGGGGUGUUGGGGACUCACGGGAGACCGCCGGGGUCAACUCGGAGGAAGGUGGGGACGACGUCAAGUCAUCAUGCCCCUUAUGUCUUGGGCUGCACACGUGCUACAAUGGCCGGUACAAUGAGCUGCGAUACCGCGAGGUGGAGCGAAUCUCAAAAAGCCGGUCUCAGUUCGGAUUGGGGUCUGCAACUCGACCCCAUGAAGUCGGAGUCGCUAGUAAUCGCAGAUCAGCAUUGCUGCGGUGAAUACGUUCCCGGGCCUUGUACACACCGCCCGUCACGUCACGAAAGUCGGUAACACCCGAAGCCGGGCUUGAGUUUGAUCCUGGCUCAGGUCGAUCGCUGUAUGUCUCCCCCCCGAUUU
Molecule: ribosomal RNA, 1180 nt
Filed under: Streptomyces sp. SMVB13
Lineage: Bacteria; Bacillati; Actinomycetota; Actinomycetes; Kitasatosporales; Streptomycetaceae
Description: bacterial SSU rRNA
Rfam family: Bacterial small subunit ribosomal RNA
Source: RNAcentral